AUUGAACGCUGGCGGCAUGCUUUACACAUGCAAGUCGAACGGUAACAGGCCUUCGGGUGCUGACGAGUGGCGAACGGGUGAGUAAUGCAUCGGAACGUACCCAGAGGUGGGGGAUAACGCAGCGAAAGCUGUGCUAAUACCGCAUGUGAUCUGAGGAUGACAGCGGGGGACCGAGCAGCAAUGUUUGGCCUCGCGCCUUUGGAGCGGCCGAUGUCGGAUUAGCUAGUUGGUGGGGUAAAGGCCUACCAAGGCGACGAUCCGUAGCUGGUCUGAGAGGACGACCAGCCACACUGGGACUGAGACACGGCCCAGACUCCUACGGGAGGCAGCAGUGGGGAAUUUUGGACAAUGGGCGCAAGCCUGAUCCAGCAAUGCCGCGUGCGGGAAGAAGGCCUUCGGGUUGUAAGCCGCUUUUGGCAGGAACGAAACGGUGUCCGCUAAUACCGGGCGCUAAUGACGGUACCUGCAGAAUAAGCACCGGCUAACUACGUG
Molecule: ribosomal RNA, 492 nt
Filed under: uncultured bacterium
Lineage: Bacteria
Description: partial 16S ribosomal RNA
Rfam family: Bacterial small subunit ribosomal RNA
Source: RNAcentral